GUUAGGAAUAUUGGACAAUGGGCGCAAGCCUGAUCCAGCCAUGCCGCGUGAACGAUGAAGGCCUUCGGGUUGUAAAGUUCUUUAGCCGAUGAUUAUAAUGACUGUAGUCGGAAAAUAAGCCCCGGCUAACUUCGUGCCAGCAGCCGCGGUAAUACGAAGGAGGCGAGCGUUAUUCGGAAUCACUGGGCGUAAAGCGUGCGUAGGCGGUCUCGUAAGUUAGGAGUGAAAGCCCAGGGCUCAACCUUGGAAUUGCUCUUAAAACUGCAAGGCUAGAAUCUCGGAGAGGAUAGCGGAAUUUCCAGUGUAGCAGUGAAAUGCGUAGAUAUUGGAAGGAACACCAGUGGCGUAAGCGGCUAUCUGGACGAGUAUUGACGCUGAGGCACGAAAGCGUGGGGAUCAAACAGGAUUAGAUACCCUUGUAGUCC
RNAcentral lists this ribosomal RNA (425 nucleotides) under uncultured bacterium. RNAcentral's name for it is "bacterial SSU rRNA". It matches the Rfam family "Bacterial small subunit ribosomal RNA", at positions 354 to 796 of the family's 1533-position model. The record is from RNAcentral.